CUGGGGCGAUAACGGGGCCCAGGUAGGGGAAGAGGCUGCAGAUGCUGCCACUGAUGGACAGGCAGGCUGGGGUGAUGCGGGUGCCCAGGCUGGGUGGGCAGAGGAGCAGGCUGCAGACGGGCAGGCGGGCUGGGCUGACUCUGGGCAGACUGGCUGGGCUGACUCAGAGCAGAGCGUGAGUGGGCUGGGAACUAGGAAGUACCGUAGGGGAGUGCUGUAGAUGUGCUAUAGGUAGCACUGGUAGAUGGACAGGAGGUUCAGUACAGUAGUGAUGGGAGACCAAGGCUUCAGAAACACGAUGGACAGCGGUGUGUUGAUCGUUGACUGGGACAAACAAACACCCUGUGAGCACCUUCGACACCGAGGAGUACCCCAUCUCACAGGACGUUGAUCAAGUUUCAGUCUCCCAUCUUUAGGAUCCGUAGAUAGAUGGUAUGGCUGUUGUGGAUGUCUGGUAGCACAUGGCGACAGAUUGCACCCAUGGAGAGAGUCUGUGUGUCUAUCUGUGUAUUCUUGUGAAGUCUUCAUACCUGUAUGUGUAUGCUGAUCUCACCUCCCCUUUCUCUCCCUUCCAGACUGACACCGCAGUGGCGGCCGCUGCAGGGCUGCACCCACUGCGGUGACCAAUGGGUCUUCUGAGGAGUUACCGGCUGGAGUCAUCUACAAGGUCAAAGCCAUGCAUGACUACGCUGCCACCGAUGGAGACGAGCUGGAGAUGAAAGCAGGAGAUGUUGUGCUGGUCCUGGCCUGGGAGAAUCCUGAUGAGCAGGAUGAUGGCUGGCUCAUGGGCGUGAAGGAAUCUCAUUGGCUGGAGAACAAAGACCUCUUGGCAAAAGGCGUCUUCCCUGAGAACUUUACCCAGAAGUUGUGAGGCGGACGUCCAAUCCUCUUUCUCCUCUUCCGUCCAUUGGACCACAGGCCUCACAAGACUGGUCUGAAGGUCCCCCCGGUACCAGUUGGAAAUCUGCCAGGAUAGAAACAAUAUGAAACCCACAUCUCAAUCCUUGACCCAUGUAUCAAAUGUGCAGAUCAGCACGAUUUGUUGUUUUUGAUUUGUUACAUUUGACUACGUAAUGUAUGUGUUUUUGCUAUGCUAAUGUGGUCAGUCAUGUAUUUAUGCUAUGCUAAUGUGGCUAGUAGAAACAAAAGUAUGCUAGUUUCGAUGAAAAGGUAAUGGACUCUUAGGUGCAUUGUAUGAAUGUCAGACUGCUUGAACAAGUUUUAAGAGUUGCAUGAUAAUUUUACUGUACGGUCAUUGACUUUGUAACAACAUCUCACACCCCUAGACAGAGACUGGGACUGCUCUGGUAUCAGCUCUCAGUCCUUCAGUUCUGGCUGUGAUGAGACUAAACAUUUACUGGUACUGGACCAGAACCUUGGGGCACACCACACCAGAUGAAUCAAUGUGACCUGGGUCAUGUUUGGUAGGGUACUCUACAGCAAAACAAAAAUCAGUGUUGUUAUUGGACAGUUCAGGUAGUAUACCUCCACAUUCACCCUACUGGCUCUGUUGUCGUUAACUCUUAAGUCUAUGCUUUGUCUGUAUCAAACUUUAAGUCACUAUUAUUCUAUUUUGCCCAAUGAAAUGCAAAAAGACUGGGUAGCUGUUCUGAAACCAUGUGACCUUAUAUCUGUGACCCGUUUAAUGUCCCAUUGGCCCCUGAGAAGGGGGCUCCCUAGGCUGUUGCUCUGCUAAGAUGAAUGUUUUUCUCUCCCUGGCUUUAAUUAUUUUAUUGUCCCUCUCUCCACCUUUAUGUAUUGUACCGUCCCUCUCUCCACCUUUAUGUAUUGUACCGUCCCCCUCUCCACCUUUAUGUAUUGUACCGUCCCGCUCUCCACCUUUAUGUAUUGUACCGUCCCUCUCUCCACCUUUAUGUAUUGUACCGUCCCCCUCUCCACCUUUAUGUAUUGUACCGUCCCCCUCUCCGCCUUUAUGUAUUGUACCGUCCCCCUCUCCACCUUUAUGUAUUGUACCGUCCCUCUCUCCUAAGCAGUAGUUGAGGGGAAACAAAGGAAACCCAGCCUUUGCUCUCUCCCUUAGACAGAAAUCCCUCAGAGAUUGGGUCAGAGGUCAGGACACACAUCAGAAACAGGCUCCCUAGAUCUGUAUAUGUUUCUAUCAGUCUCUACUGUGAAAGAGAUUCCUGGGACAUGUCAUUGGGAAUGGUGUGCAGAAGCCCUGCAGGGUUGCAACCAUAUACAUGGAAUCCAUAGAAAGGGCUUUGAAGUUGAAACCUCUAGCCCUGGCAAUUUGACUGGUAAACUCAUAUGUGCAAUGGCUGCCAGUCCACCCAUUAUGCCAUCAUUGACUUGAAUGAGGAAGCCUGUCAUAUGGAUUGUAUUUCUAUGGUUGCGACAGCCUUUGUGAAACACUGGAUAACUAAAGCAUGAGCAUAGUAUGCUCUCAACUCUGUGGUAUUGGUUUCAUUAGAACUCAGGUUAUGGCCCUGAGAGGAGUGAAGCCUGUAGAUGACGGCUCAAAUCAUAAAAUCUAACUAUCUGUACUAGAAUGUGUUGAUAACGGCUAGAGGCAAGGGGUAAUUAACAAACCGCAUGUUCAGAAGAGUUUUAGAACUGUGGUCAAUGUUCUGAUCAAAAUUAUGGCAACUAUUUAUGGGUGUCAUACAAUUUUAAUGUAACAAUCCAUACAAGUAUCCAAAGAGCCCUGAAACAAAUCAUCUCAAUGUCCACGAUGUGUCCUGCUGAAAAUCAAAGUUAAACUCAGUCAAAUGAAGCCUAUGGAUGUACUGUGUUCAACUCCUAGAUGUAGCUGAAAACCAACACCUGUGUGAACACACUGCGACUGUAUGUUAAUGUCUCUCAGUGGAAAGUGAUCAAGCCUGUCACCGACAAGUCUUCUCUACAACAUUAAACAUGGAUUCAACACCA
Coregonus clupeaformis (lake whitefish) is the source of this 2889-nucleotide long non-coding RNA. RefSeq lists it as uncharacterized. Lineage: Eukaryota; Metazoa; Chordata; Actinopteri; Salmoniformes; Salmonidae. The transcript is spliced from 4 exons. The record is from RefSeq and is a predicted model, not a curated record.